This is a long non-coding RNA of Diospyros lotus (date-plum), 1554 nucleotides long. RefSeq lists it as uncharacterized. The record is from RefSeq and is a predicted model, not a curated record. The transcript has 3 exons. NCBI's taxonomy places the organism in Eukaryota, Viridiplantae, Streptophyta, Magnoliopsida, Ericales, Ebenaceae.
GGCAACCAUGUGCAUCAGUUCCGCUUCAUCAGAUGGAGCCAUGACUACCAUGUUGGGCAAACAAGCCAUGUAUGUGAUAUCAAAUGCUCCACAGUGUGUGGGCCCAUCUGCACCUACCAAACCAGCUCGGUCCAUUGCAAAGCGGACAGGAAAGAUGAAUAGAUAGCACAGAAUGGCUUGAGACCCUCUGUUGCUAAACCAGCUGCAAAUGUAACCGCGUGUUGUUCUGCAAUUCCCACAUCAAAACAGCGAUCUGGAAACUUCUUCUGGAAAUAAUUGAGGCCAGUCCCACCACCCAUUGCCGCGUGGAUGGCUACAAUCUUAUUAUCUGCCUCCGCUUCUUUGAUCAGGGAUUCGGCAAAGUACUGUGUAUAUGUAAGCGUAGGGGACUUGGACUUAAAUUGCUGUCCCGUUCUCGGGUCAAACUUGACCACCCCUGAAAGAGCAUGCCAAUAAGGAUCUUAUGAGGAAUGUAAGACACAUUUACAUUAGGAAGUAAUUCCCUCACCGUGCAUUUUGUCAGCUGCCGCCUCAGCUGGUGGAUAGCCCUUCCCUUUCUCUGUUACAAUGUGUAUAAGAACUGGACCUGGUGCGGGCAUUGCUUUUACUUUCUCAAAAAUGGUGACCAAAUUAUCUAAGUUGUGCCCAUCCACUGGACCAAUGUAAUACAACCCUAGCUCCUCAAAGAGAGUUGCGCCAGAAGCACUGAGCAUACCCCUUGCGUAUUCAUCAACUUUUGCAGCUACUUCAUGUGCCUGAGGUCCGAUUUGUUUGGUGAUGUUCUUUGAAGAGAAAAACCCCAUAUCAGAUAUCGUUGGUACAUCAAGUAAGGAUAGAGGAAGCAUAACAGGAAGGUAGUGACAUUAAAGACUUAGAGGCCAUACUUUUGCAGCUUCACGAAGCGACCGGAAGUUGGUACUUGCUUGGAGCUUUGUUAGAGCACCACUGAGGGCUCCAACAGGGGUUGCAGGGCCAUCAACAGUAGCAGUUGGUAACGAGACUUGCUUAUUAUCAUUUAGCACCACAAUCAGGUUAGCAUCAAGAUACCCUGCAUUGUUCAUGGCUUCAUAUGCUUGUCCUGCAGUCAUGGCUCCAUCUCCAAUAACAGAAACAACAUUGUUGCUCUUCCCUAAAAGGUCUCUUGCAACUGCCAUGCCUACAAAAAGUUUUUUGAUCCCAAAAGUUCUGAGUACUUCAAGUUUCCUGUCCAUCGGCAUUUAUAAGGGGAAGGACAUUCUCAUUUGUUGGUUGGAAAGGGGAGGGUGAAAGAUGAUGUAGUGAGAAAGAACUCAAACACAUACCAAGUCCAGCUGAGAUGCUUGUAGAACUAUGCCCUGCACCGAAGGCAUCGUAGCUGCUCUCAUCCCUUUUUGGGAACCCUGCUAGCCCCGAAGUUUUCCUGAUGAUCCAAGAAGCAGGCCAAGCAGUUAAAGUAAGACAAAUCAAGACGUGGAAAACAUCGCCGUGAAUUAACGCUUCUUCACCUGGACAGAUAGAUUCUUCAUGUGAACUGGGUAGUUGACAGUGUCCAGCAAUGGCGUCGGCGGCUUCUCG